This is a long non-coding RNA of Mus musculus (house mouse), 333 nucleotides long. RefSeq annotates it as predicted gene, 31128. The transcript is spliced from 3 exons. The record is from RefSeq and is a predicted model, not a curated record. Lineage: Eukaryota; Metazoa; Chordata; Mammalia; Rodentia; Muridae.
UGGGUGGAGGGAUGUGCUCAGGCUACAGGCUGAUGUUGAGGAAGCGCUGAUUCAAGGGUAGGUAUGAUUCUAACUCUGCACCUGCCUAAAGUGGCAUCUCGGUCUUCACAGAGACCGUCAGCUCGCAGGGUUCUUCAUUUCCAAACCAGAUGUGAUACUCAGGUAACAAGAAACACCUUGGCUCUCAGAGGAGAAAUUCUCAAACUGCAUUCACCCAGGUGCAGUGGAAGGCAGAGCAGUGACUGAAAUAGAUCCCCUCAGAAAGGUGUCAUAUUUUACCGGAGACAGAAAUGGUAAGAGCUGAAGAGAUGGCUCAGUGGUAAAGAGCACUGA